CCCUUAGAUGUUCUGGGCCGCACGCGCGCUACACUGAUGCAUUCAACGAGCCUAUCCUUGACCGACAGGUCCGGGUAAUCUUUGAAUCUGCAUCGUGACGGGGAUAGAUUAUUGCAAUUAUUAAUCUUCAACGAGGAAUUCCUAGUAAGUGCAAGUCAUCAGCUUGCGCUGAUUAUGUCCCUGCCCUUUGUACACACCGCCCGUCGCUACUACCGAUUGAAUGGUUUAGUGAGAUCUCUGGAUUGACGCUGGCUAGGGGGCGACCCUUGGCCAGGCUGUCGAGAAACUGCUCAAACUUGAUCAUUUAGAGGAAGUAAAAGUCGUAACA
RNAcentral lists this ribosomal RNA (328 nucleotides) under uncultured eukaryote. Its description in RNAcentral is "partial 18S ribosomal RNA". It matches the Rfam family "Eukaryotic small subunit ribosomal RNA", at positions 1470 to 1796 of the family's 1831-position model. The record is from RNAcentral.